Molecule: long non-coding RNA, 745 nt
Filed under: Chinchilla lanigera (long-tailed chinchilla)
Lineage: Eukaryota; Metazoa; Chordata; Mammalia; Rodentia; Chinchillidae
Description: lncRNA (ENSCLAG00000025461.1)
Source: RNAcentral
AUGCGGUCUGUGUCACUGGCCAGGCCACACACUCUCGAAACCAGCCCUGGUUUUACUCUUCUUCUUCCUGUAAAUGCAAUGGUGGACACUUACCUUAUCUUCACGGACAUCACCCUGCGACAUCUGUCAGAUAUUAAGCUUCAGGCACCUGCACAGAGUAUCCCAGCCUUUGAAGUGGGCGAUGAGCAUUGCAUUAUGAUUACUACAACAAUGGACUGGAACUGUCUUAAACUUUCUGCGUGGUCACUGGCCAACCGAUGUCUUUGUACAUCGAGCACCUUCAAAGAGCACCAAAUGGAAGAACUGUCUUUGAAUUCUCUGUGGAGGGCUUUCCAUAGCUGCUGGUAUGUGAGGGACCAGAAGUAGGGAGUGGGAAGCUAUUUGUUGUGACAUUCUGGGUCUGUUUUAAAUGCUCCCCUGGUAGUAUCCCUGCAGCUAUUUCUCUUUAAUGUUUCUCAUUCUUCUUUGUUUUUUAUCUUUUUGAGACAACAGCUGGAUUCUGCUUUUGGUGCUUACUCUUGAUUCCCUGUCUUGUUGUGAGCCAUUCUGGUGUGUGUGUGUGUGUGUGUGUGUGUGUGUGUGUGUGUGUGUAAGGCAUGUGGCAUUCUACUUUUCCAUGGUAUUUAAUUAAAAGUUUGGCUUUUUAAAACUUGACAUUGGUUAGUGUUGGAAAAUAGAGCCAGCGGGUAUCUCCAGGGGUUGGAGAUUUUCUCCGCCCUGCAGCCUCCUCACUGAGGAUGUUUCC